Phoenix dactylifera (date palm) is the source of this 6146-nucleotide non-coding RNA. The record is from RefSeq and is a predicted model, not a curated record. Lineage: Eukaryota; Viridiplantae; Streptophyta; Magnoliopsida; Arecales; Arecaceae.
ACAAAAACUAGAAGUCCAUUCCUUAUAUGAGUUGUGGACCUAUGUUUAGCCAUAGCGAAAGCCUUCAAGAAGGUUUUGAAGUGUCGGAAACUUCAUGUAACUGUACAUCUAUGUUUCUUUCCUCAUGAAGGGGAGGCCCCAGACUGCAAUAACAAAGGGAUACUUCAAGAAACAUGUUCUUGGCUUUGCUUUCCACUCUUCAGGAUUUGUUCUCCUCUCCUUUUAUAUCACCUUUUAUAUUUGGAAAAUUGGGUAAAGCUUCCAACUUUCCUCUUCUCACCUCCAUUUUUCAGUAUCUCAAGGAUAUGUUAAUUGCUAGAAAAUCCAAAUUGAAUUUUUUUAAUAAAAAAAGAGGAAAAAACUUUUUAUUAUUUGGUUUUCAGUGGUGGGAAGUAAAACGUGUACUUGGGGUUUGGUAUCAGACAGUCACAAUGUCAUGCACUGCCAAUGGUUUAUUUGAAUUAAAACACAGCAUGAUUCCACUGCUGAGCUUUUAUUGGAAGCCCUCGUAUAAAACGAGUCGUAUAAUGGGAAAAUAAAAGCAUAUACACAGGCAAGAAGCAUUAUACCUCAGAGAACUUGCAGGCCUCGUCGAAGGUCUCCUGGCUGAGGAGCCGGACAGCGGCAAUGUCGUAGGUUCGGAGAACGGGGUUCCCAGGGAGGAGGGAGGCGGCGGCGGACUUGGCGCUGAUGGAGACGGUGAGGCGGGAGUACUGGCGGAAGUGGGCGGAGAGGCGGACGCCGACUAGGUCGCGGUGGAAGGCGACGCCCAAGGCGAGGACGGGGUCCGCCGGGGACGGAAGAGAGGGAGAAAGGGAGAGAUCUUGCAGCGGUCGGCCUGGGACAUGACCUAGCGGUCGUAGGCGACGGCGGUGUACCGAGCUCCAUGGCCUUCACCACCGCCUUCCGCCGCACAGCCCGUCGGGCCUUGUUUUCCGGCACGUCGGCUAGGUCACUCUCGAGGUAGGGGACGCUGAGGUCGAAGAAGAGGACCAUCGUCGGUGGCGAUCGUCGGCGACGGAGAGGGCUUUUAUUGGAUCUUUUUAGACAGCGCAAGGGCGCGACGGCCAACAUACUUAGCCCACCAGCCAAAGAAUUUAAUUCGAGUACAACCUUUUUCUCAAAUUGAACUCCGUUUCCCCAGCCACUGCCUUUCGUUUUACCGGGUCGGUAUCCGAAUCCUAGACCCUUUUUAGAAUGCCAGGGCCGUUGCCUUUCUCCGGCGACAACUUUCCGCCGAGUCGCCGGAGGAGAACCCAUCCCUCCGCCCUUCUCUCCACCGCUCUCCUGCUCGAAACCUCUCUGCUCUCUGGGCGUCACCCUUCUCUCGUUUGUCCCCCACUCGAUCGAUAUGAAGAGGCCGAGAUGUGUUCUUCUUCCCGGGAUCUCGAUUUCUCGUCUCCUCCUCAUUUCUUGCGUCUUCCUGUGCUCUGUUCCCGGCAAAGCAAACCAAUUCUCUUAUUUUUCUUGAAAACAAUUGUUUGUAAAUAUUUUGCAUGGGUUUCCCUCUUAUUUAAAGACAGAAAAGAGGGCAAACUGAUUGCAUGCAUAUGAAGAAGCCUUGUUGGUCGCAUUGUCUUGAGAAAAGUUGGGAGAUUUCACAGGUUCUAAUUCAUAUGGUGAGAGAGAGGAAGAGAAAGGAUAGAGGUUGGAGACUAUGCUAAAGUCUAGUUGAAUUUUAGAUAUGAUUUGCAGGAGUUGUAGAAAUAAUUAAGAAAAUAAGAGUUGGCAGCCAGUUUGGAUAAUAAUGGUAGGAGGAUAAGUUUUGUUUGGGAUAGGUGUGAAAUUAUUAUUGUUCAUUAGUUUUUUUUCCUAAAAAAAACUUAAAUAUGAGCUUGAGGGUGUUUCCUAGGUUUGUUUUUUAAAUUCUUUUUCGUUUUCUUCAUGCUAUGGCAAUGGUUGAUUUUUGCCCCCAAUUGCAAUUAUAUUAUAUUCAGUUCAUUGAAAAUUAAUGUAAGAAAUUGAAGCAAUGUGUCAAGAAAUGAAGCUCAGAUAAACUUUUUUGGAAUAUGCUUUUCUGGUAGUCAAAGCAUAAGAUGUAUGCAGGUUGACUGACAGUGCUUGAUUGUCGCAUGGGUAGUUUCUUUUCCUAUAGAAAUUUGUGGCUUGCUACAUCAACUAUGAACAUUAUGGAAGUUACAUCCAAUCCAAAAGAGAGAGGGCUUAAGGAAUACUAGAAAACAUUUGGAUAUUGAGCUAUAAAGGAGUUUGUGGUAGUUGAUAGAAUAGACAGAAUAAUUCUGUGCAAAUGGAAAAGGAUAUUUUCUUUUUUUUAUAGCAUAUGUGUGUGUUGAUUUAUCGAAAGGUUAAUAUUUGUAAGCACAAUGAAGAUAUUUGUGUGAUUUGAUGUCUUGCAAGAAAAUGCUCUCAAGUUGUCAACUUUAUAUUGUAUUGGUUUCUAUGAUUAUGGGAAUAUGGGGUGAAGGUUUUGGAGCUUUUAGAUUGGGGCAUAUCUUUUUGCUCAAAGUUGUUGCAGAACUUCUAUUUUUCAGGAGGUUUUUCAUCAAAGGCAGUUACACUUAGGUCAAUCCAAUUUUUUAAUAUUCAUGAAUUUCUGGCUCGCAAUCCAACAAUUUAUUUUGACUGUAAAGGAGAGAGCAAGAUAAUAUUGCCAGAUGUGAAGGAGAAACACUUUUUCUACACUUUCAAGGGCAAAGAGUCUUGGCAGGGUAUAUUAUUCUUUCAUUGCAUAGAUAAGUCAAAAUCCAUUAUGUUGCAUAGUUAUUUAUUAUGUUCUUUUUUGUCGUCCACACUUACUAGUUUCUCUUGGUCUAGUGCGAACAAACUUAGAUAAAUUAUAUUAGCACAAAAUACAUAAACAACAAUCAUUCUCCCAUCUGUUCAUGGGUAGCGUUAAUAACUGUGCUUCACCUUAGGAAAUAUUAUCCUACCAUGUCACUUGCUAUAUACCUUGUUUGGCUUUGAGAGAAGUUUUUACUAAAUUUGCAAGCAAGAAUUACUUCAUAUUUGGUCAAUUUAAAUUACAGCAAUCAAAGAAAAUUUUAAUUAUAUGAUUGGUCCCCAUGGUACUCCUAUGCUUAAGAAUCAUAGCUGUUGGAAGCUUGAUCUGAGUUAUAACCAGAAUACACCUUCUUUUGAGUGCUUAUAACUAAGGGGGGAAUGAUUUGGUGAUGUGUGAUAAUAAGGUUAUUGUUUUCUGAAUCUACUCAUGUCCUCGUCAUACAGUGAGCCAGUGUUCUACUGCUAUGAUAACAUAAACUCACACUCAAGAAUUUUUCUAGAAGUUUGCCAAUGGACUUGGUUCCUGCCAUUAAUCAUUAAAAAAUUUUAAAAAAAAUUAAAAGUUCAUGAGUUUUGCCCUUUUUAAAAUGUUAAUGACUGAAUUCUGUUCUUUUCAAUUCAGCAUUUAUCUGGAAUUUUUCGUAUCACCUAAAGCUAAAUAUUGUUAAAAUGAAAAAUUUUGAAAGAUAUUACCUUCAGCAGAGUCAACAUGCCCAUCUGGCUGUUGUGCUUCUGUGGGGAAUAAAGAGCCUUGUAUUUGUUCUUCUUACUAUAAGUUGCGGUAGGUUAUGGUAUGUUCAUUCAGCAGCCAUAAUCAUUGUCAUGUUCCCAUUUAAGAGGAUAGAAUUCUUAUAAAGAUGCGAUGGGGCCUAUAAAAAUGUUCAUUUGAGCUGUAUGCUUUUCUUGUUAUAGCAGCAAAAAAAAAUAAUUUCCCACUUGCCUCCAACUGUGAUUGAAAAUUGAAUUUCUCCUCUAAUUCGUUAUUUAAUAGUAAAGUCUGGAUAUAAUUUAUUUUUAGAUCACACUUUUUUCAGUUUAAAAGGUUUACUUUAUUUCGUAGCUAAUUUCGUCGAUUUAGAAUAACAUUUUCAUGAAUAACUGAUGCUUUUAAUGUUUUUGUUACUGGCAUGAAGAAUAAAUAGAAAUCCAUCUAUGUUUAUCUUAGUAUGCCUCUCAUUAAUAAACUCGACAUAAUGUCUUCAAUCGUUUACAGGUUUUAACAGUGGUAUACAAAUCUGGACAUCAUGCUGGUAACAAUGGUGAUCUUAAGCUUUCAGAAAAUUUUCUAUUCUAAAGAGCAUAAAACAUCCAUAAUGUCCUCUCUGUCAUCUAAGGACACUCAUUUUAAGCAAUUAGGUUGAAACUCAAUUUUUUCGUGGCUGAGCAUGGAACUGGAAUUUUGGGUAUUUAUAGUUUAGAAAGUAGAUUUAUUAUUGUCUAAAUUAUAACGCGGCAUCAUGAUUUAAGCACCGGCUUAAAGAAAGAUAUUGACAAAUCACCAAUAUAUAUCACUUCUAUACUAAAUUGCAUAUGGAUAUUUGUAAUCUGAUGAAGGCAUGGGCAUGCUUGAAUGUUUUGCUGAAAUUUGAGUGGGAUCAUAGAUUUAUUACCUCCACUAUUUAACCUAUAGAAAGGCAUAUAAUUAUCUUUCUGUUGGUUCCAAAUGUAUACGAUCGUAGACAAUCUUUAAGAAAGGAAAUAACUUUGAAAUACCAUUAUCUUUUAAUUAGUUCCAUCAUUAUACUAAAGAUGCUCUUUGGAAAAGGAUAACAUCUGAUGAAGAUCAAGACAUCCUUCUUCAAGAUCACACUCUCUUUUCUAUCUCUGGCUUAUCUUCAGAAGCAUUGACAGCAGCAUUUUUUUUUUUUUUUGGAGAAAUAGGAGGGCUAAAACGCCCACCUCCAUUUUAUUGAAAUGGUGAAAGAAUAUACAAAGUUUACAUUGAAAUUCUGGGGAAGACAGUAUGGAACUGAUAAUAGAUAUAUUAUUUAUUUAUUUGCCUGUCGGUUGGGAAGUUCAGGGGAGCUAGUUUGCCUCUGACUCAAUCAAUAGUUGCUGCGGCAUCUUGGGUGGUGGUGUUAAAAUUUCUGUUAUUACUCUCUUUCCAUAUAUGCCAGAUGUGUGCCAUAUCUAGAUUGUCUCAUUCUUGCUGAAUAGAGAGAUGCAAGUCAUUUGUCCAAGUCGAUCAGAGGGACUUGAGUUUGGCUGGUGCAGGCUUGCUAAUAUUUAAGCAAGCAAGAAAAUGUUGCCAAACUUGGGUCGUAAAAUUGCAAGAUAAGAAUAGAUGGUCAUUAGAUUCUGGAGCAGACUGACAAAGCACACAGUUUGAACUUUUGACUUGUUUUUGCUUUGAACUGUUGUCUUUCAUCAGCACCACCAUGCUGGCGAUUAUGAAAGUUUGCAGCAAUCACUCUCUUAAGCAAAAAAUUACAACCUAUCGCAGAUGUUAAGGCACUUCAACAAAUUCAUCCUCUCCUGUCUGCAAGUCCUAAUAGCAACCAAGGACAUUCUUAUGUCUGUUUUUGCCUAAGACCUCUACUUACUGAGGUCUCUGACAGAGCUUACAGAUAAUAAGUGCAAGCGCUGUGGUCUGUAUGAGAUGGACAGUAUAAAAACUGAUGAUGUUUUUGAUGAGUGGGAGCUGUGUCUUGAUGAUUUUAUUGAUGGGAAAUCUAUACAUUUUAAGGAGGAGUUCAAUGCCACAUUCAUAUGCAAGGAGUGUAGAGCUGCUGCUGGUGCAAAUCUCUCUCUCUCUCACACACACACACACGACUUUGUAUCUACUUUGAUGUUUUUGCCCCAACGAUUUGGUUCACUGUUGUUCCAGUUGUAGAUCCUGGUAAUUACUUCUAGCUCAAAUAGUGGAUCUGUUGACAACAAAAUGAAUGUGGUUCUAGUGAUGGUUAUCAGUGCAUUGGUCUCUGUUAUAGCUGCUGCUGGAACAGUUGGUGCAUACAGAUACUGGCAGAAGAGGAAGAGGGAGCAAGACCGGGCUCGAUUUCUAAAGCUUUUCGAAGACGGAGAUGACAUCGAAGAUGAAGUUGGUCUGGAGAAGAUAUAACAACACACUGUGGCAGAGCUUGAUUUUGAUCGACAGUAUACCAUACAGAGAGUGUCAUACCAAUUUCUGAUGGAUGUUCAACAGAGAUAAGAAAACAGUGUCUGGAUCACACACCAAGGGAACUUACGGAGUGGACAAGUACGAUGCUCUUUAGAAGAAUCCUUGUAUUCUUGAUAUUAUAUGCCAACAUAGUUUUGAUGGUGUAUAUUGUUAUUUAGUUGAUCUAACAAUUGUGAGUUGAAGUAUUUUCUUAGUUUUGAUGGUUCUCGGACCAUGCUGCUCGAGAGCAGCCACUCUUGUAUUACUGCUUAAUCCAAGUGUCCAAAACAUUUUCUCUUUCUUA